This 253-nucleotide ribosomal RNA is filed under the name uncultured bacterium. RNAcentral's name for it is "partial 16S ribosomal RNA". It matches the Rfam family "Bacterial small subunit ribosomal RNA", at positions 524 to 776 of the family's 1533-position model. The record is from RNAcentral.
GACAGAGGAGGCAAGCGUUGUCCGGAUUGACUGGGCGUAAAGCGUCCGCAAGUGGUCGCGCAAGUGCGCUGUGAAAGCGGCCCGCUCAACGGGCCGAGGCCAGCGCAGACUGCGCAACUCGAGGUCGGGAGAGGUCGGUGGAAUUGCCGGUGUAGUGGUGAAAUGCGUAGAGAUCGGCAGGAACACCCAAGGGGAAGCCAGCCGACUGGCCCGCACCUGACACUCAGGGACGACAGCGUGGGGAGCGAACCGG